This 77-nucleotide small nucleolar RNA is filed under the name Anas platyrhynchos platyrhynchos (common mallard). Its description in RNAcentral is "Small nucleolar RNA SNORD43 (ENSAPLG00000025038.1)". The record is from RNAcentral. Lineage: Eukaryota; Metazoa; Chordata; Aves; Anseriformes; Anatidae.
CACGUGAUGAUAACUUCGACGGGCGGACAUAAGGAAAUCGCCUCUGGCGCUUGUUGAUGAGCGUCGAGUCCUGACUG